Molecule: long non-coding RNA, 3457 nt
Organism: Loxodonta africana (African savanna elephant)
Lineage: Eukaryota; Metazoa; Chordata; Mammalia; Proboscidea; Elephantidae
Exons: 2
Source: RefSeq, a predicted model, not a curated record
UCCCUCACAACGCACGCCCGACUUGAAGGGUGGGGCCCACGUCUCGAUGCGGGUGUCGGGCCUGGGUGGGGAGGGCCCUGCCUGGCGUGGGAGCCCUGUCUGGGCUCUGCCUUGGUUAUGGGGCCCUGAGAGGCCGGUGGCCAGUGUUGGUGGUGCUCAGGUGGGCUUUGGCGGUUUUGCAAUAGGCUGUGGAAGGGGGCGUAGAGGAGCCUUGGUGGUGCACCGAUUGACGUGCUGGCAGGGAGGUCAGAGGUUCAAACCUACCAGCUGCUCUGCUGAGAAGAAACCUCGCGAUCUGCUCCUGUGAAGAUUCAAAAAACCCAAACACCCAUUGCCGUCGUAUAGGAUCGCUAAGGUCGCUAGGGGAAACCCUCGUGGCGUAGUGGUUAAGUGGAACUGCUGCUAACCAAAAGGUCGGCAGUUUGAAUCCGCCAGGCGCUCCUUGGAAACUAUGGGGCAGUUCUGCUCUGUCCUAUAGGGUCGCUAUGAGUCAGAAUCGACUGGGUGGCACUGGGUUUGGUUUUGGUUUAUUAAGGUCGCUAGGAAGGGCACCUAACAACAGUAACAAUCUGUUGAUCGGCGUCAUCCUCAGAAUAGAUACGCCUUUUAAAUAUGGAAAGAAUGGCUUCUAGGCUGUUAUUUUUAGCUGACAACUAACUUCUAAAGUUUUGUGAAAUUCUACGCUGCUUCUUCAUUUUAAAACAAUUUGGACUGUAGAGGCAUCUGUUUUACUGCUCUUUCCACUUCAAAGUCAAUUCCUCCAACAUAUUUCCAAUUUAAGGUUGAUAAGAAUUUCCAAAAAGGGUCUCAGAAUACUGUUGUCGGUCCCCGUCUUUUAUUCUCAACAAGACUUCGAAUCAAAUCACUCCGGUAUGAUGCUGCCUACGCUUAUUACGAAAAGGGUUUUUUUUUUUUUUUUUUUUAAUUGUGUAGGUUUUUAAAGGAAUUUAAUCAACAUCACAGUUCUAGUGUUUUCUUGUGUAAAAUGAAGGGGCCAGAACCAGAUUCUUUGAGCAAACAAGUUAGGUAAUCACCCGGAGCCAGGUAGGGUUUCAGAGGGCUCAUUCCCUUGUGACUGGCCCAGGAUCCCCAGAAAUUGCCGCCAGCCUCAGCCUCCGUGAGCUCUCAGCCUGGGGUGGAAUCGGGAAAAUUAUUGUAUUUCUUCUCCCCUCACCGCCAUGUAAAAUACAAUACUAAACCAUAAAAUAAGUGUUAGGCAGUCUGAUAAAGUCCAAUAAAGUUCUGUGGGGUUUUUUUUUUUUUUUUCUGUGUUGACAUCUUGAAUGCUUUAAGCAAUCGAAUUAUUCUAAAAAAAAAAAUUUUUUUUUUUUCUUGCUGGCAUUGCAGCUUUGUUGGUGCUCUAAGCAAACAUUUAGUUUGCCUGUUGGCAGUCCACCUUCUGACCUGACACAAGAUGAAAGAAAAUAUUGAAUUUUGAGCAAUUACGGAUGUUUUCUGUUUGUUUUUACUUCUCCCUAAUUUGACCUUACUUUGCAUCAGAAGACACUUGCCCUUUCCCCUACUUUUUCGUUUCUUAAACCUGUGAGUCACUUCCCCUCUUUAAGGUUGAACAAGCUUCCUUGUGCUUUUCUUUCAUUCUCUAUGACCUCUGAGGGAGAGGGCCUCAGGGACUAAUCUUGCGGCCACACUCUCCAGGCUCACAAGGAUAAAACAUACCAAAUUCUGUGCUCCAUCUCUCUUUAGUCUUCAUGAGUCUAAGAACAUGGAGCUAGUGGCAAGAACACUACCCAAGACGGAAGUGUAAGAUACUAUUGAGGAUUCAAUCGACUUCUUGGACCCUCCAGGAUCUGGCUUCCCCCGGCACUCCAGGAUCUGGCUACUGCCUCUCUCUCCAGUCACCUCUCUGAUCUCCAUCAUCCUUGAAGUUUAAGCUCCAGCUAUAUGAAUCUACUCACAGGCCUUCGAACACAUCCUAGUGUAGAAUUCCUAUGUGUUGUUACUCAUGCUGUUUUCUCUACCCUGUUCAAUGGGAAUUCACCCUUCAAAACCCAAGACAGAUAAGACCAUCCUCAGAAGCCCUCCUGACUACCUCAGUUGGAAUUCAACACUGCAGCACUUUGUAAACUUUUACUUUUGCCUUUGUCACACAGUAUUAUUUACUUGUUUAUACAUUCUUGCUCUUUGACGUCAAGGAAGCUGUUUUUUCCCUUUGUAAACCCUAGUGCACAUAAUAACACCUGCACUAAAUAGAUGUCCAAUAAAUUAGUUGCUGAAAUGAAUUAAAUUUCAGUUUGUGAAUGAGCAAUUAUUUUCUUAUAAAUAUUAUCCUAUCAUUUUUUAGAGCUUACUCUUAACCAGAAAUUUCCCUGCAUCAUCAAGGUAGCCAGUGGUACUCAUACCUGACUUUGUAAGUGCUUCACAGCAGUUGUUCAUAGUGGGGUCCCUGGCCAACAGCAUUAGUAGCACAUGAAACUCGUUGGAAAUGCCAAGUCCCAGGCUCAUCCCAAUCCUAGUAAAUCAGAAACUCUGCCGUUUUAAUAAGCCCUCCGUGUGAUUCUGAUAGUCUCUAAAGUUUGAGAACCACCGUUUUACAGAAUGUUUUCUCAUAGUGCACUCUGGGGACUAGGUUAUUAGAAUCACCAACAGUGUUUGUUAAACACUCCUGCCCCUAUCCCAUGCCUACUGAAUCAGGAUCUACAGUGCUUGGGGUCCAGGAUCCUACCGUUUAAAGAUACCUCACUUGAAUACUGCUACUUUGCUCUUUCCAAGGUGCUUUCAAAUGUUCAUACUUCAGCCUCACAACAGCCUGGAAAUUUGGCGGGGUGUGGAUCAUUAUUCCCAUUUUAAUGAUGAAGCAACAGUUACAGAAAAGUUAAGUGGUUUGCCCAGUCUUAUAGCUAAGCAGCAAGGCAAGCAGGACUAGAUUCCAAGGCCAUGACCUUGGCUAGUUACCUAAUUUCUCUUUGUUUUAGUUUGCCUCAUCUAUAAGGGGCAGGGGGAGUUCUUCAUGAUCUAGGUGAAGGCUAUACGGCUGUUCAUUGUACUAUUCUUCUACCUUUUAUGUAGGCUUAAAAUGUUUCAAAAUAAAAAAAAUUUUUUUUUUUAUACAGCAAUGAGAGUGAACAGACCUGUCACUACAUGUGACAAUGUAAUGUAAAUCAAAGUGUAGUAUAAAUCAAAGACGCUAGAUACAGGUACAUACUGCACAAAAACAAGCCAACUGAGAGAGAUGCUGAUGAAGAGUGAGCUAAUUAAAUCAGGUGGACACUGGAGAGUGUGUUGGCAACUCUUGACUGGAGGGGGGAUGGGAAGAUAGAGAGAGAGGGAAGGCGGCAAAAUUGGCACGAAACAAGAGACUGAAAGGGCUGACUCAAUAGGGGGAGAGCAAGUGGGAGAAGGGAGUAAGAUGUAUGUAAACCUACACGUGACAGACUGAUUGGAAUGGUAAAUGUUCACUUGAAGCUUAAUAAAAAUUAAUUAAAAAAAAAAAAAAAAA